UACGGAGGGUGCAAGCGUUAAUCGGAUUUACUGGGCGUAAAGCGCGCGUAGGCGGCUUGUUAAGUCGGAUGUGAAAGCCCUGGGCUCAACCUAGGAACUGCAUUCGAUACUGGCGAGCUAGAGUACGAUAGAGGGUGGUAGAAUUCCUAGUGUAGCGGUGAAAUGCGUAGAUAUUAGGAGGAAUACCGGUGGCGAAGGCGGCCACCUGGAUCGAUACUGACGCUGAAGUGCGAAAGCGUGGGGAGCAAACAGG
This 253-nucleotide ribosomal RNA is filed under the name uncultured bacterium. Its description in RNAcentral is "partial 16S ribosomal RNA". It matches the Rfam family "Bacterial small subunit ribosomal RNA", at positions 524 to 776 of the family's 1533-position model. The record is from RNAcentral.